UACAGAGGGUGCGAGCGUUGUCCGGAAUCACUGGGCGUAAAGGGCGCGUAGGCGGUGGCUUAAGCGUGUGGUGAAAGCUCAGGGCUCAACCCUGAGUCGGCCGUGCGAACUGGGUCACUGGAGCAUGUCAGAGGCAGGCGGAAUUCCGGGUGUAGCGGUGGAAUGCGUAGAGAUCCGGAAGAACACCGGUGGCGAAGGCGGCCUGCUGGGCUAUGGCUGACACUGAGGCGCGACAGCGUGGGGAGCAAACAGG
This 253-nucleotide ribosomal RNA is filed under the name uncultured bacterium. RNAcentral's name for it is "partial 16S ribosomal RNA". It matches the Rfam family "Bacterial small subunit ribosomal RNA", at positions 524 to 776 of the family's 1533-position model. The record is from RNAcentral.